This 73-nucleotide transfer RNA is filed under the name Stegodyphus mimosarum. It matches the Rfam family "tRNA". Rfam says of the family: Transfer RNA (tRNA) molecules are approximately 80 nucleotides in length. Their secondary structure includes four short double-helical elements and three loops (D, anti-codon, and T loops). The record is from Rfam by way of RNAcentral. Lineage: Eukaryota; Metazoa; Arthropoda; Arachnida; Araneae; Eresidae.
GCCUUCAUUGUGUAAUGGUCAGAAUGCUCGACACGUAACCGGGAGGUCCGUGGUUCGAUUCCCGGUGAAGGCG